RNAcentral lists this ribosomal RNA (255 nucleotides) under uncultured Staphylococcus sp. RNAcentral describes it as "partial 16S ribosomal RNA". It matches the Rfam family "Bacterial small subunit ribosomal RNA", at positions 110 to 355 of the family's 1533-position model. Lineage: Bacteria; Bacillati; Bacillota; Bacilli; Caryophanales; Staphylococcaceae. The record is from RNAcentral.
GUAACACGUGGAUAACCUACCUAUAAGACGUGGGAAUUAACUUCGGGAAACCGGAGCUAAUACCGGAUAAUAUAUUGAACCGCAUGGUUCAAUAGUGAAAGACGGUUUUGCUGUCACUUAUAGAUGGAUCCGCGCCGCAUUAGCUAGUUGGUAAGGUAACGGCUUACCAAGGCAACGAUGCGUAGCCGACCUGAGAGGGUGAUCGGCCACACUGGAACUGAGACACGGUCCAGACUCCUACGGGAGGCAGCAGCA